Piliocolobus tephrosceles (Ugandan red Colobus) is the source of this 6117-nucleotide long non-coding RNA. The record is from Ensembl. NCBI's taxonomy places the organism in Eukaryota, Metazoa, Chordata, Mammalia, Primates, Cercopithecidae.
UUAAAACAACCAAACGAUUUAAAUAAUAAAUAUAAUGAUUUUUUCGAAAGACAAAUAAUGUAUAGUUUAUAUUUACAGUCUUUAUUAAACAAUAAAAAUAAUAAUGAUGAUGGUGGUGAUAGUGAUAGUGAUAAUAAUAAUUGCACAACAAUAGAUAAUAAUAAAAAUAUAACAGGUACAGAACAAUUAAUAUUAUAUAAUUAUAAAAAUAUACAAAAUAAGAUGUUAAAAAAGUUACCUGAAUUGAAAAAUUAUUUUUCCUACUUAGAUUAUUAUAUUGAUUCAUUACGAUUGUUAUAUAAUAAAUUAUUAAGUAAUCGUAAUUUAGUAUUUAUGUUAGCAAAAAAAAUAUUUAAAAAACCAAACCUUAAUAAUCAAAAAAGAUAUAAUAACAACGGUAAUAAUAACGAUAACAGGAACAACAAUAGUAACAACUUUAGUUACUAUGAUGAAAGAAAUUCAUAUAUUAGGGAAUUAUUUUCAUUACUUUUACCCCAACCACCUAUGUAUCCACCUAUAACAAGUUGGUUGUAUAUGAAAAAAAAAAUGGCAGCACAACUCCAUAAGCUACAUUUAACAAUAUAUAUUAUUUACCAAAAAAUAAUAUACAAUUUUUCAAAUAUAUUAUUACAAGUAGAUAAUAAUAUAAUGAAUUGUACAAACAAAAAUAAAUUUAAUAAAAAUUGUUCAAAUAACAUCAUAAGUGAUUAUUAUGUUUCUGACAAUGAACAAGGAUUAAACCAAGUAAUUAAUAACGUUUGCAUAGAUAGUACUAUUGGAAGUAGUAAUAAGGUUAUGGGUAGAAGUAGUAGUAGUAUUAACAGUUAUAGUAGUGCUGUUAGUGACUUUAGUAGCAGUAGUAAUAACAAUAAUAACGAUAGUGAUAACAGGAACAACACUGGAAACAGUAAUUUACAAAAAAAUGAAAUAUUAUUGACUCACAACUUAUUAAGCAUGUCAUCAGAAAAAAAUCAAUUAAAAGAAAAUUGUCAUUACAAAGAAGAUGUGAAUUAUUAUAAUAGUCAUAUUAAUGCAUCUAAGAUACCAAUAGUUGAGAUUAAUGAAAAAUUAGAAUAUAUAAUGAAUUCAAUUAAUAGUAUAACUGAAUUAGUAUCCGUACUUAAAAAACCAGAACAUGAUAGUAACAAUAGGGAAAAAAUAAAAAAUAAAAAAAAAAUUUGUGUUUGCGACGAAAUAACAAAUGAAUUUAAUAAUCAGUUACAACUUGUUGAAACUAAGUACGAAAAUGAAAAAAAUGAAAAGGGUGAGAAAAAUGAAAAAGAUGAAGAAGAUGAAACAAAUGAAAAAAAAGAGUGUCAACAGCUCGUUACUGAUAGGAGUGACAAUGGUAAUAGUAACUGUGGUAGUAAGGAUGAUUGUAAUGGUACCAGCAACAGUGCCGUGUGGAAAUGUGAAAAAAAGGUAGAAGAUAUAGAUUACGAAAACAAUGAAAUUAAUGGAAUUAAUGAAAUUAAUGAAAAUAAUGAAAAUAAUAAUAACAGUAAUAGUAAUAGUAACAACUCCUUUUAUUCAUCAAAUGCAAACAUACUAACAGUAGAAACUUCCAGUGCAAAUUCCGAAAUAAAUAAAAAUGAUGAUGUAAUGAACAAGCAAAUUGUUAAAUACGAUAGUAGUUAUAGUAGCUAUGACAGUAACGACAGUAACGACAAUUAUAGCAACAUAAAUAGGAACACUAAUAGAUAUAGUAUCAAAAAUAGUAAUAAUAACGAUAGUCAUAAUAACGGUAAUAAUGACAGCGUUAAAAACAGUAGUAGUAGUAGUAGUAGGAAUAAUAAUUUUUUUUUAAAAAAUAUAUGUAAUUUAAAUAAUAACUUUAUAAGCGAAGAAAAAUCGUUAGAAGUAUUAGAUAAAAUAAAAUACGAAUUAAAAAAAAUAUAUCAUGAAAUGUUAACUUUAAAUAAAUAUGAAAGAUAUAUAUCACAAUCUAAUAAUAAUAAACUAAAUCGUUUUUUAGAAUUAAUUAAUGAUCAAGAAAACAAUUCUAAUUCAUUAUCAUGUAUUGAAGCUGAUUCUAGUCAUACAUCAUUACCAUAUAUAAAGCAAAGUUCUUUGAGUAAUACAAAUUUAGACCUUGAUUCUUUUAUAGAUAUUUCAUUCAACAAUAUUAGAUAUAGUGAUGGUAAAGAGGAUAGCAUACUCAAAAGUGCAAUAAGACGUUGUAAUACCAGUAAUAAUAAUAUCAUAAGUACCAACGAUAGUCGUAACAAUAGAGACAACAUAUUUCUUUAUAAUUGUUUGUUAAAUAAUACUAAUUUUAUUGAUAAACAACAUGAAAUACAUGAUGUUUUAUAUCCAAAUAGUAUAAACGACAGCAAUAACAAUAGUAAUAAUAAUAUAAGUACAAACUAUAUUCCCGGAAAUAAUAUACUUUAUGAUAUUAAGUAUACAAGCGAUAUUAUGCAAAAACAAUUAAUGCUUUCAAAUAAAAUUUAUAAUGAUUUAUUAAAAAAAUAUAAUGAUCAUCAUGAUAUAGAUAAGUCAUAUAAUGAUAGUAUAGUAAAGUUAGAAAAUGUUGAUGAAUUUGAGAAAAUUAAUGAAAAAAAUGAAACAUGUCCCUAUAAGGAAAUAAUUCCAUCAAAUGAAUGUUUACUUGGUCAAACCGAGAGGUAUAAUGAUAAUAUUGGUAGUAGUAGUAGUAGUAGUAGUAGUAGUAGUAGUAGUAGCAGCAGCAGUCGUAAUAAUAACGACAUCACCAACAAAAUUGUAGAAAAUAACAAUUUGAAUAAACAAACUAGUACUAUUCCUUUAUUCUUAUCAUCAAAUAACAUUAAAAAUAAUAUCAUUUCAAACAAUCAAAAGAUAUAUAAUAAUAGUGAAAAAUAUACAGAUCAUAAUAAUAUACUACAAAAGAAUGAAUACUACAAUCUUAAUGUUAAUAAAAUUAGUGAAGAAAAUAAUUAUGAAAUUUUUCAUUUAAAUAAUGAAAAUAAGCAGGAUAAAGAAAAUAUAUCUGCAUUAGUUCUUUCAAAUAAUGGUAGUAAUAAUGGUAGUAAUAAUGGUAGUAAUAAUGGUAAUUAUAAUGGUAAUAAUAAUGGUAAUAAUAAUGGUAAUUAUAAUGGUAAUAAUAAUGGCUGUAAUAAUGAGAACUUCACUUUUUUUUUUAACAGUGGUUGCAAUAAUAACAGUAAUGGUCUACAUUGCAAUGAAUUUAAUAAUUAUAGUGAAUAUCCAUUAACUAAUCAAAUGGAUAAUAAAGGUAGUAAUACAAAUGGUACUCCACAUCCUGGUAGUAUCAAUGAUACUACUCUUUCAAAUGAUAAAAAAAAUAAUACUACUUAUACCGGCACAAAUAUUGACAAUUAUUGUUUAUAUAAUAGUGACAAUACACGUAAUAAUAAUGAUGGUGAUAUGUUUUAUUCAGGUAACAUGAAUUCAUACAUAUACAACUAUAACCCAAAUGAAGAAACAUCAAGAAAAAUGUAUUAUAUUCAUAAUAAUAAUAAUAACAAUAAUAAUAAUAAUAAUAAUUAUUUACAUAAUGAACAUAACUCUAAUAUAAAUAAUAAUGUUUAUAAUAUUUUAAAUUACGAACAAUAUAAUAAUUAUUAUUCUAAUUCAAACAAUAUAACAUCUGAUUGUAUAAACCAAGAAAAUGUAAUAAAUAAUAAUUCAUAUAAUAACGGAUUACAUAAUAAUGAAUUGUAUAUUUGUGAUAUGAGUGGAAAUAAAAACAUAUCUGUAGGAGGAUAUAAUAGAAACAAAUAUAAUAUGAUAAAUAAAGAUACUAAUAAUGAUAAUGAUACUGAUAAUGAUACUAAUAAUGAUGCUAAUAAUGAUAAUGAUACUAAUAAUGGAAGAGAAGGAACAAUAAUACUACAUAACAGAUUAAUAAAUAAUUACACAUUAAAUAAUGACAAUGAUAGUAAAACAUUAAUAGAAAAUUAUCAUAGUAAUAAUAAUAUGGAUAAUAAUAAUAUGGAUAAACAUUUAUUAAUUAACAAUACACUUGUUAAUAAUAAUUUGAUAGAAAAUAAAACAAUAUAUGAUGGAAAAAAAAUAUACGACGUGAUAGAUGGUAACAAUAUAGUUGGUCAUAAUACAAUAGGCAGUAAUAUAAUUUACAUUCAAAAUAAUAACAGUAAUAAUAAUAAUAAUAAUGAUGAAAAUGGUAACGACCAACAUAUAACCCGAUGUGAUGACUAUUAUAAUGAUUAUUCUACGUGCAAUAAACAACAGAAUAUACAAGAACCUCUUUUAGAAAGCGAGGUAAAAAAGAGAACUUAUAAUAACAGUGUUACAACCAAUAAAAAUAUUAUAAAAGAAAAAAAUGAUAGCAUUAUAAAAAAUAAAAUUGUGAAUUGUGGCGAAAAUAAUAAUAAUAAUAAUAUUAAUAAUAAUAAUAAUAAUAAUAAUAAUAAUGAAGUUGAAGAACAAUUUGAAAUUUCAAAUAUGCGUAAAGACUAUACUGUGUUGAGUGAACAACAUACACAUACAAAUGAAUCACCAGAUGAACAGAACGAUUUGAAAAAAAAUAGACACAAUAGUUGUAAUAGUAACAACACCGAUAGUGAUAGUGUCAAUAAUAAUACAACAGAAAAUAAUAAUACCAACUGCGAUUCAGGAAAUAGCAAUAUUAAUGAUUUAAAUAAACUAAAAUUAAAAAAGAUGUUAGAAAUAACAGGAAAAUUGAUUCGAAAAAAAUAUAGAGGUAUAUCUUAUGAUCCAACUCGAAAAGGGUGGUCAACGUUUGUAUAUAAAAAUGGAGUAAGACAUAAAAAGUUUUUUUCAGCUUUAAAAUAUGGUAAUUUAUUAGCAAAAAAAAAAUCAAUUGAAUGGAGAUUGAAAAAUUUAGAACCUAAUUCACAUGCGUAUGUCUUUUCAUUACAAGCAAAAAAUGAAUUUAAUGCCAUUUUAAAUGAUGACCAUGUAUAUAGUACAGAUUCAGAAGAUAACGAUUAUUGUAAUAAUGGAUCAUGGGGGGAUAGACUUACUAAUAAAUCAAAUAGAGAUAUACUUUAUGUUAACGCUUUUUUAAACAUGUUUAAUGAGCAAAAUAAAAAAAUAGAGUUACCUUAUAAUGGCGAAACUGGUAGUACCACUAUAGAUGGUAGUAUUGAUCAUAGUGGACAUACUAAUACACACAACUCUCAAAAUAAAAGUUUCAAAAAUGAUACAGAUGACAAAAACAAUACAGACAAAAAAAACAACAGAAACAGUCGAAGCAACCGAAACAACAGAAACAAUAGAAACAAAAAAAACGAACAAAUAAACUCGGAAAAAAAUCUUGAAUCGAGUGAGGAAAAGUUUUAUACGUACAUUGCAGAUAAUAUAACACAAGAUGACAACAAUCGUGUAGGAUUUGCAUUGGAAAGUUGUAAGUAUGGUAAUAAUAAAAUAGGUAGUAGUAAUAGUUGUACUACAAAUAAAAGUAGCGAUAAUGAUAACGAAAUUAAUUCGAAAAUUAGUAAUACUAAUACUUCUUAUAACAAUAAUACUUCUUAUAAUAAUACUUCUUAUAAUAACAAUAAUAAUAAUAACAAUAAUAAUAAUAACAAUAAUAAUAAUAACAAUAAUAAUAAUAANNNNNNNNNNAACAAUAAUAAUAAUAACAAUAAUAAUAAUAACAAUAAUAAUAAUAAUAACAAUAAUAAUAAUAAUAACAAUAAUAAUAAUAACAAUAAUAAUAACAAUAAUAAUAAUAAUAAUAAUAACAAUAAUAAUAAUAAUAAUAAUAAUAAUAAUAAUAAUAAUAAUAAUAAUAAUAAUAAUAUUAUUAGCGGGGUUGAAAAAGUUGCCCAAGUUGAAACAGAAACAGAGACGGAGACUUCAAAAGCGUACUGUAUAAACAACAGUAAUGGAGAUAAGAACAAAAACAUGGAUGAAAAUAACAGCUGUGACAACGACAUGUUUAUUAAUAACAAUAAUAAUAACAAUAAUAAUAACAAUAAUAAUAACAAUAACAAUAACAAUAACAAUAACAAUAACAAUAACAAUAAUAAUAAUAGUAAAUGGAAUAACGAAGAAAUAUCAUUCUCAAGAAAUAACAAUUUUAUUAAUUUAUCUGAACGCACAUUUGAAAAAAUCGAAGCGGAAAAAACCGAAGCAGAAAAAACCGAAGCAGAAAAAAUAAAAACUGAUGUAUAUAAUAUGGGUUGU